RNAcentral lists this unclassified non-coding RNA (275 nucleotides) under fungal sp. RNAcentral describes it as "partial internal transcribed spacer region". The stretch from base 1 to 46 matches the Rfam family "Eukaryotic small subunit ribosomal RNA", at positions 1786 to 1831 of the family's 1831-position model. The record is from RNAcentral. Lineage: Eukaryota; Fungi.
AAGUCGUAACAAGGUUUCCGUAGGUGAACCUGCGGAAGGAUCAUUAUCGAGUUUUUGAACGGGUUGUAGCUGGCCUUGUAACAGAGGCAUGUGCACGCCUGGCUCAUCCACUCUCUUAACCCCUGUGCACCAUAUGUAGGAAUGAACGGUGAACGUAUCUGCUUAGCGGGCGCUGAAGCCUUAGUUCUUAUGUUUACUACAAACGCUUCAGUUUUAGAAUGUUUACUGUGUAUAACACAAAUAUACAACUUUCAGCAACGGAUCUCUUGGCUCUC